This 463-nucleotide ribosomal RNA is filed under the name uncultured bacterium. RNAcentral's name for it is "bacterial SSU rRNA". It matches the Rfam family "Bacterial small subunit ribosomal RNA", at positions 28 to 507 of the family's 1533-position model. The record is from RNAcentral.
GACGAACGCUGGCGGCGUGCUUUCCUUUGAAAGUCGAACGAUGAAGUUCCUUCGGGAAUGGAUUAGUGGCGAACGGGUGAGGAACACGUGAGGAAUCUGCCCUUCAUUUUGGGAUAACACCGGGAAACCGGUGCUAAUACCGAAUACUCCGUCUUGGCGGCAUCGCUAAGCCGGGAAAGAAUUUCGAUGAUGGAUGAUCUCGCGGCCUAUCAGCUAGUUGGUGAGGUAACGGCUCACCAAGGCAACGACGGGUAGCCGGCCUGAGAGGGCGACCGGCCACACUGGGACUGAGACACGGCCCAAACUCCUACGGGAGGCAGCAGUAGGGAAUAUUGGUUAUUGGGCGCAAGCCUGACCCAGCGACGCCGCGUGAGGGAUGAAGGUCUUCGGAUUGUAAACCUCUUUCAGUAGGGAAGAAGCGAAAGUGACGGUACCUAAAGAAGAAGCACCGGCUAACUAUGUG